UGUGCUGCAUGUGCACCAUUUGACAUUAAGUU
RNAcentral lists this non-coding RNA (32 nucleotides) under Rattus norvegicus (Norway rat). Lineage: Eukaryota; Metazoa; Chordata; Mammalia; Rodentia; Muridae. The record is from RNAcentral.